This 903-nucleotide ribosomal RNA is filed under the name Myriotrema olivaceum. Its description in RNAcentral is "LSU rRNA". It matches the Rfam family "Eukaryotic large subunit ribosomal RNA", at positions 40 to 967 of the family's 3401-position model. The record is from RNAcentral. Lineage: Eukaryota; Fungi; Ascomycota; Lecanoromycetes; Ostropales; Graphidaceae.
AUAUCAAUAAGCGGAGGAAAAGAAACCAACAGGGAUUGCCUCAGUAACGGCGAGUGAAGCGGCAGCAGCUCAAAUUUGAAAUCUGGCCUCGCGGCCCGAGUUGUAAUUUGGAGAAGGUGCUUCGGGCGCGACUCCGGUCCAAGUUUCUUGGAACAGGGCGUCCCAGAGGGUGAGAAUCCCGUACGCGGCCGAGGGUCAAGCCCUUGCGAAGCCCUUUCGACGAGUCGAGUUGUUUGGGAAUGCAGCUCCAAACGGGUGGUAAAUUUCAUCUAAAGCUAAAUAUUCGCCGGAGACCGAUAGCGCACAAGUAGAGUGAUCGAAAGAUGAAAAGAACUUUGAAAAGAGAGUCAAAAAGUACGUGAAAUUGUUAAAAGGGAAGCGCUUGCAACCAGACUCGUUCGCGGGUGCUCAGCCGUCCUUCGGGACGGUGCAUUUCCCCGCGGACGGGCCAGCAUCGGUUCUGGCGACUGGAUAAAAGCUCGAGGAAUGUAGCUUCCCUCGGGAAGUGUUAAGCCUCGGGCGUAAUACGGUCAGCCGGGACCGAGGAUCGCGCAUUCGCAAGGAUGCUGGCGUAAUGGUUGCCAGCGACCCGUCUUGAAACACGGACCAAGGAGUCGACCAACCGAGCGAGUGUUUGGGUGUCAAACCCCGGCGCGGAAUGAAAGUGAACGGAGGUGAGAGCCUUCGGGUGCAUCAUCGACCGAUCCUGAUGUCUUCGGAUGGAUUUGAGUAUGAGCUUGGCUGGUCGGACCCGAAAGAUGGUGAACUAUACGUGAAUAGGGUGAAGCCAGAGGAAACUCUGGUGGAGGCUCGCAGCGGUUCUGACGUGCAAAUCGAUCGUCAAAUUUGCGUAUAGGGGCGAAAGACUAAUCGAACCUUCUAGUAUCUGGUUCCUGUCGAAGU